GAAUUCACUAGUGAUUUCUGGUUGAUCCUGCCAGACCCGACUGCUAUCAGAGUGGGACUAAGCCAUGCGAGUCAACGUAGUAAUACGUGGCAUACGGCUCAGUAACACGUAGUCAACAUACCCAGGGGACGUGGAUAACCUCGGGAAACUGAGGAUAAACCGCGAUAGGCCAUAAUUCCUGGAAUGGUUUAUGACUGAAACCUACAUGGCCCCUGGAUUGGACUGCGGCCGAUCAGGCUGUUGGUGAGGUAAUGGCCCACCAAACCUGUAACCGGUACGGGCUCUGAGAGGAGAAGCCCGGAGAUGGGCACUGAGACAAGGGCCCAGGCCCUAUGGGGCGCAGCAGGCGCGAAACCUCUGCAAUAGGCGAAAGCCUGACAGGGUUACUCUGAGUGGUUCCCGCUAAGGGGAUCUUUUGGCACCUCUAAAAAUGGUGCAGAAUAAGGGGUGGGCAAGCCUGGUGUCAGCCGCCGCGGUAAUACCAGCACCCCGAGUGGUCGGGACGAUUAUUGGGCCUAAAGCAUCCGUAGCCGGUCAUGCAAGUCUUCCGUUAAAUCCACCCGCUCAACGGUUGGGCUGCGGAGGAUACUACGUGGCUAGGAGGCGGGAGAGGCAAGCGGUACUCAGUGGGUAGGGGUAAAAUCCUUUGAUCCAUUGAAGACCACCAGUGGCGAAGGCGGCUUGCCAGAACGCGCUCGACGGUGAGGGAUGAAAGCUGGGGGAGCAAACCGGAUUAGAUACCCGGGUAGUCCCAGCUGUAAACGAUGCAGACUCGGUGAUGGGAUGGCCUCGAGCUAUCCCAGUGCCGCAGGGAAGCCGUUAAGUCUGCCGCCUGGGGAGUACGGUCGCAAGACUGAAACUUAAAGGAAUUGGCGGGGGAGCACCACAAGGGGUGAAGCCUGCGGUUCAAUUGGAUUCAACGCCGGAAAUCGAAUUCCCGCGGCC
RNAcentral lists this ribosomal RNA (945 nucleotides) under uncultured archaeon. RNAcentral describes it as "bacterial SSU rRNA". It matches the Rfam family "Archaeal small subunit ribosomal RNA", at positions 1 to 940 of the family's 1478-position model. The record is from RNAcentral.